Molecule: ribosomal RNA, 389 nt
Filed under: uncultured bacterium
Lineage: Bacteria
Description: bacterial SSU rRNA
Rfam family: Bacterial small subunit ribosomal RNA
Source: RNAcentral
AUUGAACGCUGGCGGAAUGCUUUACACAUGCAAGUCGAGCGGCAGCGCGGGGGCAACCCUGGCGGCGAGCGGCGAACGGGUGAGUAAUAUAUCGGAACGUACCCCGUCGUGGGGGAUAACACAGCGAAAGCUGUGCUAAUACCGCAUACGACCUGAGGGUGAAAGCGGGGGAUCGCAAGACCUCGCGCGAUGGGAGCGGCCGAUAUCGGAUUAGCUUGUUGGUGAGGUAAAGGCUCACCAAGGCGACGAUCCGUAGCUGGUCUGAGAGGACGACCAGCCACACUGGAACUGAGACACGGUCCAGACUCCUACGGAGGCAGCAGUGGGGAAUUUUGGACAAUGGGGGCAACCCUGAUCCAGCCAUUCCGCGUGAGUGAAGAAGGCCUCGG